Molecule: ribosomal RNA, 352 nt
Filed under: uncultured Racocetra
Lineage: Eukaryota; Fungi; Glomeromycota; Glomeromycetes; Diversisporales; Gigasporaceae
Description: SSU rRNA
Rfam family: Eukaryotic small subunit ribosomal RNA
Source: RNAcentral
AGCAGCCGCGGUAAUUCCAGCUCCAAUAGCGUAUAUUAAAGUUGUUGCAGUUAAAAAGCCCGUAGUUGAAUUUCGGGGUUCUACCGUUGGUCGGGCUUUGUCUGUACUGGCGUGUAGAAUUUCUACCUUCUGGGGAACCAUCAUGUUAUUAAUUUAACGUGGUGGGAAACCAGGACCUUUACCUUGAAAAAAUUAGAGUGUUCAAAGCAGGCUUAUGUCUGAAUACAUUAGCAUGGAAUAAUAGAAUAGGACGGUGGUCCUGUUUUGUUGGUUUCUGAAUCACCGUAAUGAUUAAUAGGGAUAGUUGGGGGCAUUAGUAUUCAAUUGUCAGAGGUGAAAUUCUUGGAUUUAU